GCCACCUUGAAUUAAGUGUUUUCCUUUUAGUAAGAGAAGUUGAGACUUGAGAAAAUUGUUCGUUAGGAAACAUUUUUCAGCCAUAUGAUGGGAAGCAGAAGAAUCCCCUUUAGCAGGGGAAGAUGCUGAGCCCAUACCCCGAGGUGUUCAAGGCACUCUGGCCCCUGAAUCUCAGCUGUUGAACAGGGGCUUUGGCAGCGGUGGGGAGCACUGGAGGAGGAGAACCUGUAGCAGUAUCUUGCCACACCGGAGUGUCCUACCUGCUGAUCCCUCACUGGCUCCUGGAACUCCCUGCAAGGCUGUCCCCCAGCUGUCUUGCUUGGAGCUAGUGUUAGCAGACUGGCUGCCCUUGGGAAGGGAGCUGGUUCUUAGCAGUGCUGAAAUCCUACCCUGGAACACAGGAGAACACCAGGAGGGUUAUGGUGCAGUCUGA
RNAcentral lists this long non-coding RNA (433 nucleotides) under Cyanistes caeruleus (blue tit). Its description in RNAcentral is "lncRNA (ENSCCEG00000015982.1)". The record is from RNAcentral. Lineage: Eukaryota; Metazoa; Chordata; Aves; Passeriformes; Paridae.